This is a long non-coding RNA of Varroa destructor (honeybee mite), 1455 nucleotides long. RefSeq lists it as uncharacterized. The record is from RefSeq and is a predicted model, not a curated record. Lineage: Eukaryota; Metazoa; Arthropoda; Arachnida; Mesostigmata; Varroidae.
ACCUUUAUUCUAUGCCAUACUGAUGUCAGUUUAUGAAGCAUCAGAUCGCUGAAUAAUACCCAAUUGCUAUAGUCGCUAGUAUUCCACCAUCAAAUUAGACUUUUUUUCAUUAAAAAAAAUCAAAAUCUAAUAGAGGGCGAUGCAAUUGUCCUGAUAGCGGUUGCUACGUGAGAACUUUGUCGUCGUUCCUUCUUUCGUGGUUACUUGCGGUUCUGUUGUUUUUGUUAUAUUUUUCCCACUCGGUGUUUGCUAACGCCGGUACUAUUAUCUCAGUUAUCUUUGUAGCUGCUCGUUUGUUUUAUGCCUAGAAUGUUCUCCUUCAGCAUCAGCAGUAACAAACGGCUGUCGUGGUAAACAGGGUGUUUUUUUAUCGGGUUUGAGUUGUUGCUUGUCGGCGAUGCCAGUGAUCUGCCUCAGUUGUCGCUAGUCCUGUCGUGUAACGGUCAUUGGCCUAUCGGGCUUGUCUACGUGCUGGCCAAGGACGUCACGAUGACCGCUGAUAGCUCAACGGCCCUCGACGCUGCUGCCCCGAGCUACAUCCCUUUGGUCUGACAGACUUUUUCAUUAGAAACUGUGCAGAAGCCGGCCCGGUCGCUGCCUGCUUAGUCAGCUAUAGCCGUGUAUUUAUAGACAGAUUUGCAGAUGUGUGUCGUGUCGUAGCCAGAAGUAUUAUAAUGUGCUGUGAGGCACGUUUUUUACUUACGAGGGCCGGCGUUGACAGGAAAGCUAACGCGAAGUUCCUUUAAUGGGUUACCAUGGUAACGAUGAACGUGCGCCUGUUAAUAGUUCAAAUUCUAACGUAGGCAAAUAAUUACUGUGACCUGUUGUUACUAUAGCGUUCUUUUAUAGGCCUGUAAGCGAAACCGCAGAUAAGUUUAGCAAAACUUACCCCCCUUACUGAAAAGUGAGCAGGUUCACUUUAGAAUUGAGCUGGUGAACAAAAAACUCUCAAGUCGACAAUAGAAAUUUGGCAUGGAACAGGGUGGAAAUAGGGACGUACCUCUACCUCAAGACAGAGCGAACGGCUGGAGCUAAACCGCCGCAGCAGUGAAAAACAAUGUAUAAAUAAGUUACUGUGUUCAACAACAAAGCAACGCGGGCAGAAGCAUCAAGCGAGCGACAAGCAAUGAAAUCGAUGAGGCUACCUGUUAUAAAUCAGCGCAUAUAUAGGCAUCCGGAAGUUUUGCUAAGUUGAUACACAGUGAAAAGCUAACACUAUAGAUGUAAAUGGAGGAAACAUUAGACAUCCAUGGUGAAUUAACCUAAUUCAGACACUAUGUAAGUAUAAAACUUUUGCUCAAGUGAUCUGAUUCAUUGGUUUUCAAAUGAAGGUAGACUCCAGAGUACGUUAGGUAAAGGAAGGUGCUGGAACGCUGCGCUGUCUUUUCGUGUGUCUGCAACGUAACUUAUCAUGGCAUCCGUCUCAAUUUUUACCAUUUUAAAUGAAUGAACACA